Molecule: long non-coding RNA, 351 nt
Filed under: Anser brachyrhynchus (Pink-footed goose)
Lineage: Eukaryota; Metazoa; Chordata; Aves; Anseriformes; Anatidae
Description: lncRNA (ENSABRG00000013077.1)
Source: RNAcentral
AAUCUGUUAAUGAAACCCCUUGUGAUGGGUUACAGCAGCAGCUGUUGCAACACCCCUCCCCCUUGUCCUACACAGGGAGGUUUCUGGUUUGAGGUUGCCCUGUGGUGGCCUCAAACUUUCUGGGAGAAUUCUAGAUUAGCUCUCAGCUUGUUGUGUGUGGUUUUGGAUGUAUAUUAUAAGCGGCUGUUGGCAUCUAUGAUGAACAGGCUACACAACAAAUUCAAGACCAGAAGACAAAAAGGCAGUGGAUGUAGUCAUUCUCUGGAAAAAUUAAGACACCGAUGUCUUUGAGUUAACAGCUUUUUCCCUGUGCUGUAGUUACUGUGAAAAAUCUCCAAAUAAGAGUGUUCU